AUUGAACGCUGGCGGCAGGCUUAACACAUGCAAGUCGAGCGCGGUGAUGGUGCUUGCACUAUCACUUAGCGGCGGACGGGUGAGUAAUGCUUAGGAAUCUGCCUAUUAGUGGGGGACAACAUCUCGAUAGGGAUGCUAAUACCGCAUACGUCCUACGGAAGAAAGCAGGGGAUCACUUAUGACCUUGCGCUAAUAGAUGAGCCUAAGUCGGAUUAGCUAGUUGGUGGGGUACAGGCCUACCAAGGCGACGAUCUGUAGCGGGUCUGAGUGGAUGAUCCGCCACACUGGGACUGAGACACGGCCCAGACUCCUACGGGAGGCAGCAGUGGGGAAUAUUGGUCAAUGGGGGGAACCCUGAUCCAGCCAUGCCGCGUGUGUGAAGAAGGCCUUAUGGUUGUAAAGCACUUUAAGCGAGGAGGAGGCUCUUUUGGUUAAUACCCAAGAUGAGUGGACGUUACUCGCAGAAUCAGCACCGGCUAACUCUGUGCCAGACGCCGCCGUAA
RNAcentral lists this ribosomal RNA (503 nucleotides) under uncultured bacterium. Its description in RNAcentral is "partial 16S ribosomal RNA". It matches the Rfam family "Bacterial small subunit ribosomal RNA", at positions 30 to 523 of the family's 1533-position model. The record is from RNAcentral.